Molecule: ribosomal RNA, 497 nt
Filed under: uncultured bacterium
Lineage: Bacteria
Description: partial 16S ribosomal RNA
Rfam family: Bacterial small subunit ribosomal RNA
Source: RNAcentral
GAUGAACGCUGGCGGCGUGCCUAAUACAUGCAAGUCGAGCGAACAGACGAGGAGCUUGCUCCUCUGACGUUAGCGGCGGACGGGUGAGUAACACGUGGAUAACCUACCUAUAAGACUGGGAUAACUUCGGGAAACCGGAGCUAAUACCGGAUAAUAUAUUGAACCGCAUGGUUCAAUAGUGAAAGACGGUUUUGCUGUCACUUAUAGAUGGAUCCGCGCCGCAUUAGCUAGUUGGUAAGGUAACGGCUUACCAAGGCAACGAUGCGUAGCCGACCUGAGAGGGUGAUCGGCCACAUUGGAACUGAGACAGGGUCCAGACUCCUACGGGAGGCAGCAGUAGGGAAUCUGACGCAAUGGGCGAAAGCCUGACGGAGCAACGCCGCGUGAGUGAUGAAGGUCUUCGGAUCGUAAAACUCUGUUAUUAGGGAAGAACAAAUGUGUAAGUAACUAUGCACGUCUUGACGGUACCUAAUCAGAAAGCCACGGCUAACUACGUG